ACAGCUUGUGGACCAGCCCCUCGUGCCACA
RNAcentral lists this small RNA (30 nucleotides) under Bombyx mori (domestic silkworm). RNAcentral's name for it is "ovarian small RNA-11116". The record is from RNAcentral. Lineage: Eukaryota; Metazoa; Arthropoda; Insecta; Lepidoptera; Bombycidae.